RNAcentral lists this ribosomal RNA (388 nucleotides) under uncultured bacterium. Its description in RNAcentral is "bacterial SSU rRNA". It matches the Rfam family "Bacterial small subunit ribosomal RNA", at positions 28 to 417 of the family's 1533-position model. The record is from RNAcentral.
GACGAACGCUGGCGGCGUGCUUAACACAUGCAAGUCGAGCGGUAAGGCCCUUUCGGGGGUACACGAGCGGCGAACGGGUGAGUAACACGUGGGUGACCUGCCCUCAGCUCUGGGAUAAGCCUGGGAAACUGGGUCUAAUACUGGAUAUGACUCCACGGUGCAUGUCGUGGGGUGGAAAGCCUUGUGCGGCUGAGGAUGGGCCCGCGGCCUAUCAGCUUGUUGGUGGGGUGAGGCCUACCAAGGCGACGACGGGUAGCCGGCCUGAGAGGGCGACCGGCCACACUGGGACUGAGACACGGCCCAGACUCCUACCGGGAGGCAGCAGUGGGGAAUCUUGCGCAAUGGGCGAAAGCCUGACGCAGCGACGCCGCGUGAGGGAUGACGGCCU